Molecule: ribosomal RNA, 496 nt
Filed under: uncultured bacterium
Lineage: Bacteria
Description: partial 16S ribosomal RNA
Rfam family: Bacterial small subunit ribosomal RNA
Source: RNAcentral
AUGCACGCUGGCGGCGUGCCUCAUACCUGCAAGUCGAGCGAACGGACGAGAAGCUUGCUUCUCUGAUGUUAGCGGCGGACGGGUGAGUAACACGUGGAUAACCUACCUAUAAGACUGGGAUAACUUCGGGAAACCGGAGCUAAUACCGGAUAAUAUUUUGAACCGCAUGGUUCAAAAGUGAAAGACGGUCUUGCUGUCACUUAUAGAUGGAUCCGCGCUGCAUUAGCUAGUUGGUAAGGUAACGGCUUACCAAGGCAACGAUGCAUAGCCGACCUGAGAGGGUGAUCGGCCACACUGGAACUGAGACACGGUCCAGACUCCUACGGGAGGCAGCAGUAGGGAAUCUUCCGCAAUGGGCGAAAGCCUGACGGAGCAACGCCGCGUGAGUGAUGAAGGUCUUCGGAUCGUAAAACUCUGUUAUUAGGGAAGAACAUAUGUGUAAGUAACUGUGCACAUCUUGACGGUACCUAAUCAGAAAGCCACGGCUAACUACGUG